Molecule: ribosomal RNA, 200 nt
Filed under: uncultured bacterium
Lineage: Bacteria
Description: partial 16S ribosomal RNA
Rfam family: Bacterial small subunit ribosomal RNA
Source: RNAcentral
AGAGUUUGAUCCUGGCUCAGAAUCAACGCUGGCGGCGCGCUUAACACAUGCAAGUCGAACGAGAAAGUCCGCAAGGAUGAGUACAGUGGCGUACGGGUGAGUAACACGUGGGUUAUCUGCCUCUUAGUGGGGAAUAACCCUGGGAAACCGGGGUUAAUACCGCAUAAGCCGAGAGGGGAAAGCAGCAAUGCGCUGAGAGA